Molecule: ribosomal RNA, 253 nt
Filed under: uncultured bacterium
Lineage: Bacteria
Description: partial 16S ribosomal RNA
Rfam family: Bacterial small subunit ribosomal RNA
Source: RNAcentral
UACGAAGGGGGCUAGCGUUGUUCGGAAUUACUGGGCGUAAAGGGCGCGUAGGCGGUGUGUCAAGUCAGGCGUGAAAUCCCGGAGCUCAACUUCGGAACUGCCUUUGAUACAGCACGUCUUGAGUCCGAUAGAGGUGGGUGGAAUUCCUAGUGUAGAGGUGAAAUUCGUAGAUAUUAGGAAGAACACCGGUGGCGAAGGCGGCCCACUGGAUCGGUACUGACGCUGAGGUGCGAAAGCGUGGGGAGCAAACAGG